This 768-nucleotide long non-coding RNA is filed under the name Ananas comosus (pineapple). RNAcentral's name for it is "long non-coding RNA (ACOM_LNC011843)". Lineage: Eukaryota; Viridiplantae; Streptophyta; Magnoliopsida; Poales; Bromeliaceae. The record is from RNAcentral.
GGUUGCAAUAGAGGGGAAGAGAGAGGUCGUGACAAAAAAAAAUUAUAGAGAGAAAAAAUAAGAAUAAUAAAAAAUAAAAAUAAAAAAUAUUUUACAGAAAAGAUAAAAAAUCAUAAAAAAAGGAAGAAGAUGAUGAAAUUGCACUGUUAAAAUAAAGUUAUACUGUUAUAAAAAAUUUUUGAACUGUUUUAAGUAAAAGUUGCACUCUCUGAUAUAGAAAUUAUAUUUUUUAGGAUGAGAGUUACUGUCACGCGCCAGGCCCAGUGGAAGCCCGCCGACACGUGCACAGACCCGCUGUAUACACCAAACAAUCACAAUGCACUCAAGGCGUCUACUAAAAUAAGAAAUGAACAUAGUAAAGCCCUAACAAGGCUAUCAGAGCGAGUACUAUAAAAUUACUAAUGUUCUAACACAAGGAGAUCCACAACGCUCGCCCUAACAAUGUUCUAACACGUCGAGAUGCAGGCUCUCCUCCUGCACUGCGCGUCGGAACGCCGUGAUGUCGUUAGAGGCGGUGAUCUCGCCUUCGACAACGUCGCGGUGGUUGCAAUAGAGGGGAAGAGAGAGGUCGUGACAAAAAAAAAAACUAUAGAGAGAAAAAAUAAGAAUAAUAAAAAAUAAAAAAAAAUAUUUUUUUCUACAGAAAAGAUAAAAAAAUCAAAGAAGAAGGAAGAAGAUGAUGAAAUUGCACUGUUAAAAUAAAGUUAUACUGUUAUAAAAUUUUUUUGAACUGUUUUAAGUGAAAGUUGCACUCUCUGAUGCAGAAAU